Tympanuchus pallidicinctus (lesser prairie-chicken) is the source of this 293-nucleotide long non-coding RNA. RefSeq lists it as uncharacterized. NCBI's taxonomy places the organism in Eukaryota, Metazoa, Chordata, Aves, Galliformes, Phasianidae. The transcript has 4 exons. The record is from RefSeq and is a predicted model, not a curated record.
AUUUAAGGGCAGUAGUGGGGGCAAGGGUGUUAUGCUGAGAAUUGUUGUGUGCCUAAGGCCUUUAGAAGCUGUGUUAAGGUUCCAUUGUGCAUGAAUUGUGCAAAUCAGAAUGAUAGUAUCCCUACCUGCUGUGUAUCUGGGAGUGCCAUCUGGCCAUCAGGAAUCAAGCUACCUUGGAAGAGAAGGCAAAAAAAACAUGACGCUCAUGAUUGGUCUGCUUCUGCUGGAAGAGAGAUGGGCUGGUUAUGAGGAGGCUGCUGAAUUUGAAGAGUCAGGAGCUACAUGCUCAGCAC